Molecule: long non-coding RNA, 301 nt
Organism: Drosophila teissieri
Lineage: Eukaryota; Metazoa; Arthropoda; Insecta; Diptera; Drosophilidae
Exons: 3
Source: RefSeq, a predicted model, not a curated record
UCGAUCGGAUCUCUCUGGCCAGGCCAAAGUCGGCUAUCUUGAUGAGAUCUGGGCCGGAGCAGAGCAAGUUCUCCGGUUUCAGGUCGCGGUGGAAAAAUCCAUGACGGUGCAUGAAGGCCAGACCAGUGGAAAGCAGCUCACCUGGAAGAGAAUACUCUUGAGCUCCGGUUCGGCUUAACGAUGUUCGGGUGGGACAACUUCUUCAAGGACUAAGGAGAAUAGAGUAUAUUAGUAGUUACGCAAGAUGCACCAAUUCAAGGAGGAGGAGGAGCAUACCUUAACCUCGCGCAGAUUCAUGGCC